Molecule: long non-coding RNA, 2800 nt
Filed under: Homo sapiens (human)
Lineage: Eukaryota; Metazoa; Chordata; Mammalia; Primates; Hominidae
Description: HSALNT0174268
Source: RNAcentral
CACUGGACUUACAGUAAAAAGACCUGAAUUCUACUUUUGUCUAAAUUAGCUAAACACUAUAAGAUACUGACUCAUUGCUAUUCACUGAAUGUUUAUGCCUGUCCAAAUUCCUGUGUUGAAAUCCUAACCUCCCUUGUGAUGCUAUUUGGAGGUAGAGCCUUUGGAAGCUAAUCGGAUCAUGAGGGUAGAGCCUUCAGGAAUAAGACUGGUACCCUUGUAAAGAAAUUACAGAAAGUUCUCUUGCCCCUUUAACCUUGUGAGGACACAGCAAGAAGGGGCCAUUUAUGGAACAGGAGGUGGUCCUCACCAGACACCGAAUCUGUCAGUGCCUCAACCUUGGUCUUCCCAGCCUACAUAAAUUUGAGAAUAAAUUCUGCUGUUGGUUUGGAAUCACUGAUGUGAGAGAAAGAAUCUGCAUCACCUUGAAAUGGGAACUGUGGAAGUUUGAAUUUAAAGUACAUGGCAGAAGACAUGUCUAAGCAGUAAAGAAUUCAAGAAGUGACCUGGCUGCUUCUAACAACAUAACUCAAGGUGGAAGCAAUGCAAUGACUUAAAGAUUGAAGUUCUAUUUAAAGGAGAAGCAGAGCAGAAAAGUUUGGAAAUUUUCAGCCUAGUCAUGUGAUAUGGUUUGGCUCUGUGUCCCCACCUAAAUCUCAUGUCGAGUUGUAAUCCCCAUGUGUCAGGGGAGCCACAUGGUGGGAGGUGAUUGGAUCAUUGAUGUGGAUUUCCCCCUUGCUGUUCUCAUGAUAGUGAGUUCUCAUGAGAUCUGUCUCUCUCUCUUCUGCCUCUAUGUGAAGAAGGUGCUUGCUUCCCCUUCACCUUCCACCAUGAUUGUAAGUUUCCUGAGGCCUCCCAAUCAUGCUUCCUGUUAAGCCUGUGGAACUGUUAGUCAAUUAAACCUUCUUUCUUCAUAAAUUAUCCAGUCUCAUCUAGUUCCUUAUAGCAGAGUGAAAGCAAACUAAUACACCAUGUGGCAAAGAAAGAAAAAACUUCUUUGGGAGAGGAAUCCAAGCAGGCUGCAGAGCAACCACUUGCCAGAGAGAUUCAUAUGUUUCAUAGAGAGACAGACGCUGAUAGACAGGACAAUGAGAAAAGGCAUUUUACAGAUCUACAAACCAAUCUCUCCUAAAACAGACCCAGAGGUAUAGGAGAAAAGAAUGGUUUAGAGGGCAGGCCUUGCUUCCCAGCACCACUGCAGGAGGAUGCUACUUGUAUCCAGGUCUCUCCAACCUCAGCUCAAAGAGGCUUAAAUACGUUUUGAGCUGCUGCUUAAAAGGGUAGAAGCUGUAAGCAUUGGUGGCUUCAAUGUGAUGUUAAUCUUGCAGGUGUUUAGAUGUAAGAAUGAAGGAGGCUUGGCAGCUUAUCCCUAGAUUUCAGAGGAUCUAUGAGAAAGCCUGAGUGCCCAGGAAGAAAUCUCCUGCAGGGGUAGAGGCCUUUCAAAGAACCUCUAUUAGGGCAUCAUGGAGGGGGAAUGCAGGGCUGGAACGCCCACAUAGAAUUGUCACCAUGGUACUGCCUAGUGGACCUAUGGGAAUGCUGCUAUUUCCAGACCCAAGAAUGGUAGAGCCAAUGGAAGCCUGCAAUUUGAAUAUGGAAAUGGCACAGACACCCAACUCCAACUCAUGAAAGGAGCCACAGGGUAUACACCCUGCACAGCCACAGGGUUGGAGCUGUCCAAGACCUUGGGAACCCACCCCUUGCACCAGUGGUUGCAAUGUGGGACUUGGAGCCAAAGGAGAUUUCUUGGAGCUUUAAGAUUUAAUGACUACUCUGCUGGGUUUCAGACUUGCAUCGGGUCUGCAGCCCCUUUAUUUUGGCCAAUUUCUCCCUUUUGGAAUGAGAAUGUUUACCAAAUGCCUAUAACCCCAUUGUAUCUUGGAAGUAAUAACUUGAUUUUUAUUACACAGGCUUGGAAGGAACUCAUCUACAGAGGAGGCUUUAGACUUGGGAAUUGGAACUUGAGACUUUAAAUUUAGUUGAUGCUGUAAUGCUUUAAGACUUUGGGGGAUUAUUUGAAAGGAGUGGAAUGAUAUUGUUUGAAUAUUUGUCCCCUCCACAUUUCAUGUAAAAGUGUAAUCCUCAAUUUAGGAAGUGGGGCCUGGUGAGAAGUGUUUGGAUUAUUGGGGGUAAAACACUCAUGAAUAGCUUGGUGCUGUUCUUAUGAUAGUGAGUAAAUUCUCAUGAGACCUGGUUGUUGAAAACUGUGUAGUACAUCCCCCAACCUUGCUCCUGCUCUUGCCAUGUGACAUUCUGGCUCCCUGUCACCUUUCAUAAAGAGUGUAAUCUUUGUGAGGUGUCACCAGAAGCACAUGCUGGUACCAUGCUUCCUGUAAAGACUGCAGAACCAUGAGUCAAGUAAACUUAUUUUCUUUGUAUAUUAGCCAGUCUCAGGUAUUCCUUUAUAGUAUCACAAACAGAGCAAUACAAGGACUUCCUUUUUAAUCACAUUGAUAAAUUUAUUCUAGAAACACUUAUUUAGUUAUGAUUAUUUGGGAUUCAACCGUAUACAUAAUUGUAUGUUCUGCCCUCUUAGAUAUUCCAUUCUAGUAAACAAAACAGACACAUAAACAAGGAAAUGAUGGUAUGUGGAAUAAAGUGUUAUAAAGGAAACAAAGAUAGCUGUCAGAUAGACAUAACAUGGAUGUAAUUUUUGAGAUGAAAACUUUAGUUAAUGUUAAUAGGAAAGCCACUCUGUGGAGGUGGCAUUUAAGUUGAAACCUAAAAAGAAAAAAGGCGUGACUAGGAAUUAAUGGUUAAAUUUCACUGUCCCUUUCUUUAAAUCGGACUGUAAGAGAAAUUG